CGGGACACGUGGUAUCCUGUCUGAAUAUGGGGGGACCAUCCUCCAAGGCUAAAUACUCCUGACUGACCGAUAGUGAACCAGUACCGUGAGGGAAAGGCGAAAAGAACCCCGGCGAGGGGAGUGAAAAAGAACCUGAAACCGUGUACGUACAAGCAGUGGGAGCACGCUUAGGCGUGUGACUGCGUACCUUUUGUAUAAUGGGUCAGCGACUUAUAUUCUGUAGCAAGGUUAACCGAAUAGGGGAGCCGAAGGGAAACCGAGUCUUAACUGGGCGUUAAGUUGCAGGGUAUAGACCCGAAACCCGGUGAUCUAGCCAUGGGCAGGUUGAAGGUUGGGUAACACUAACUGGAGGACCGAACCGACUAAUGUUGAAAAAUUAGCGGAUGACUUGUGGCUGGGGGUGAAAGGCCAAUCAAACCGGGAGAUAGCUGGUUCUCCCCGAAAGCUAUUUAGGUAGCGCCUCGUGAAUUCAUCUCCGGGGGUAGAGCACUGUUUCGGCAAGGGGGUCAUCCCGACUUACCAACCCGAUGCAAACUGCGAAUACCGGAGAAUGUUAUCACGGGAGACACACGGCGGGUGCUAACGUCCGUCGUGAAGAGGGAAACAACCCAGACCGCCAGCUAAGGUCCCAAAGUCAUGGUUAAGUGGGAAACGAUGUGGGAAGGCCCAGACAGCCAGGAUGUUGGCUUAGAAGCAGCCAUCAUUUAAAGAAAGCGUAAUAGCUCACUGGUCGAGUCGGCCUGCGCGGAAGAUGUAACGGGGCUAAACCAUGCACCGAAGCUGCGGCAGCGACGCUGAUGCGUUGUUGGGUAGGGGAGCGUUCUGUAAGCCUGCGAAGGUGUGCUGUGAGGCAUGCUGGAGGUAUCAGAAGUGCGAAUGCUGACAUAAGUAACGAUAAAGCGGGUGAAAAGCCCGCUCGCCGGAAGACCAAGGGUUCCUGUCCAACGUUAAUCGGGGCAGGGUGAGUCGACCCCUAAGGCGAGGCCGAAAGGCGUAGUCGAUGGGAAACAGGUUAAUAUUCCUGUACUUGGUGUUACUGCGAAGGGGGGACGGAGAAGGCUAUGUUGGCCGGGCGACGGUUGUCCCGGUUUAAGCGUGUAGGCUGGUUUUCCAGGCAAAUCCGGAAAAUCAAGGCUGAGGCGUGAUGACGAGGCACUACGGUGCUGAAGCAACAAAUGCCCUGCUUCCAGGAAAAGCCUCUAAGCAUCAGGUAACAUCAAAUCGUACCCCAAACCGACACAGGUGGUCAGGUAGAGAAUACCAAGGCGCUUGAGAGAACUCGGGUGAAGGAACUAGGCAAAAUGGUGCCGUAACUUCGGGAGAAGGCACGCUGAUAUGUAGGUGAAGUCCCUCGCGGAUGGAGCUGAAAUCAGUCGAAGAUACCAGCUGGCUGCAACUGUUUAUUAAAAACACAGCACUGUGCAAACACGAAAGUGGACGUAUACGGUGUGACGCCUGCCCGGUGCCGGAAGGUUAAUUGAUGGGGUUAGCGCAAGCGAAGCUCUUGAUCGAAGCCCCGGUAAACGGCGGCCGUAACUAUAACGGUCCUAAGGUAGCGAAAUUCCUUGUCGGGUAAGUUCCGACCUGCACGAAUGGCGUAAUGAUGGCCAGGCUGUCUCCACCCGAGACUCAGUGAAAUUGAACUCGCUGUGAAGAUGCAGUGUACCCGCGGCAAGACGGAAAGACCCCGUGAACCUUUACUAUAGCUUGACACUGAACAUUGAGCCUUGAUGUGUAGGAUAGGUGGGAGGCUUUGAAGUGUGGACGCCAGUCUGCAUGGAGCCGACCUUGAAAUACCACCCUUUAAUGUUUGAUGUUCUAACGUUGACCCGUAAUCCGGGUUGCGGACAGUGUCUGGUGGGUAGUUUGACUGGGGCGGUCUCCUCCUAAAGAGUAACGGAGGAGCACGAAGGUUGGCUAAUCCUGGUCGGACAUCAGGAGGUUAGUGCAAUGGCAUAAGCCAGCUUGACUGCGAGCGUGACGGCGCGAGCAGGUGCGAAAGCAGGUCAUAGUGAUCCGGUGGUUCUGAAUGGAAGGGCCAUCGCUCAACGGAUAAAAGGUACUCCGGGGAUAACAGGCUGAUACCGCCCAAGAGUUCAUAUCGACGGCGGUGUUUGGCACCUCGAUGUCGGCUCAUCACAUCCUGGGGCUGAAGUAGGUCCCAAGGGUAUGGCUGUUCGCCAUUUAAAGUGGUACGCGAGCUGGGUUUAGAACGUCGUGAGACAGUUCGGUCCCUAUCUGCCGUGGGCGCUGGAGAACUGAGGGGGGCUGCUCCUAGUACGAGAGGACCGGAGUGGACGCAUCACUGGUGU
Molecule: ribosomal RNA, 2312 nt
Filed under: Escherichia coli
Lineage: Bacteria; Pseudomonadati; Pseudomonadota; Gammaproteobacteria; Enterobacterales; Enterobacteriaceae
Description: partial 23S ribosomal RNA
Rfam family: Bacterial large subunit ribosomal RNA
Source: RNAcentral